RNAcentral lists this ribosomal RNA (734 nucleotides) under uncultured eukaryote. Its description in RNAcentral is "bacterial SSU rRNA". It matches the Rfam family "Eukaryotic small subunit ribosomal RNA", at positions 666 to 1622 of the family's 1831-position model. The record is from RNAcentral.
GGGCGUGUGUGCUGGUAUGAGUCUUCCAUCCUUCUAGAGAGCCACGCCUGCUGUUCACUCAGCUGGGCGUGUGCGAUCUAGAUCAUUUACUUUGAAAAAAUUAGAGUGUUUAAAGCAGGCUUAUGCCCGAAUACAUUAGCAUGGAAUAAUAAAAUAGGACUUCGGUUCUAUUUUGUUGGUUUCUAGAACUGAAGUAAUGAUUGAUAGGGAUAGUUGGGGGUGCUAGUAUUCAGUGGCCAGAGGUGAAAUUCUUGGAUUCACUGAAGACUAACUACUGCGAAAGCAUUCACCAAGGACGUUUUCAUCAAUCAAGAACGAAAGUUAAGGGAUCGAAGACGAUCAGAUACCGUCGUAGUCUUAACCAUAAACUAUGCCGACCAGGGAUUGGGAGACGUUACAUGGAUGACUCCCCCAGCACCUUGCGAGAAAUCACAAGUCUUUGGGUUUCGGGGGGAGUAUGGUCGCAAGGCUGAAACUUAAAGGAAUUGACGGAAGGGCACCACCAGGAGUAAACUUGAAAAACUGCUGCACUUUUAUGCAUUGCAUGCAGGUAUCUGCUCCAAAAAGCUGGCUGCCAAGAUAGUGGUGAUUACUAACCAACUAACUAUCUAGGGUAAACAGUAUCCAGCUAGUCAACUCUGCACGAUUUUAAGUUUGUUUCUUACAAUCGAACAAUCGAUCAUCACAGUGCAGAUGAUUGGCGACACUAUCAAAUUGCGGGAAGUUCCUAAAGC